CGGCCGUAUAAGUCCUUUGUGAAAUCGUCAGGCUCAACCUGACGGUGUGCAGAGGAUACUGUACGGCUCGAGACCGGGAGGGGUCAGAAGUAUUCCGUGGGGAGCGGUAAAAUGCUAUAAUCCACGGAGGACUACCGAUGGCGAAAGCAUCUGACCAGAACGGAUCUGACGGUGAGGGACGAAAGCCAGGGGAGCAAACCGGAUUAGAUACCCGAGUAGUCCUGGCCGUAAACGAUGUGAGCUAGGUGCCGCGUGAUUUACGGGAUCACGCGGUAUCGAAACGAAGGUGCUAAGCUCACCGCCUGGGAA
This 309-nucleotide ribosomal RNA is filed under the name uncultured archaeon. RNAcentral describes it as "bacterial SSU rRNA". It matches the Rfam family "Archaeal small subunit ribosomal RNA", at positions 526 to 834 of the family's 1478-position model. The record is from RNAcentral.